RNAcentral lists this small RNA (293 nucleotides) under Alicyclobacillus acidoterrestris ATCC 49025. Its description in RNAcentral is "5' ureB small RNA". It matches the Rfam family "5' ureB small RNA". The record is from Rfam by way of RNAcentral. Lineage: Bacteria; Bacillati; Bacillota; Bacilli; Caryophanales; Alicyclobacillaceae.
CGACAUCCACCUGCUGCGGGCUGAUAAAGUGAAUAUGGCUGUCAAUGCCUCCCGCAGUCACAAUGGUGUUUUCGCCCGCGAUGACCUCCGUACUCGCACCAAUGACCAUACCUUUUGUGACGCCGUCCAUCGUCAAGGGAUUCCCUGCUUUGCCAAUGCCGACGAUGUACCCGUCUUUGAUACCAAUAUCCGCCUUCACAAUGCCCCACGUGUCAAGAAUCACCGCAUUCGUAAUGACGGUAUCCAACACGUCCUCCAGCCUCGUCGCAUACGGGUGCUGCCCCAUGCCAUCG